AAGGCAUACAAUAUGAAAAAUUUUAUUAAGUGGCUGGAGAAUCAUAUAUUUUGCGACAAAAAUAUGUCAAACUUUAUUAUGAGUAACAUCAAUAACACCAUGAAAACUGCUUUUUUUACAAACCAUGCUAAAAUUGUAUCUACAUGGCAUAAAAGUGGACAUAUUUAGUUGCAACAAGACUAUUAACUAUUAGGUAUAUAAAACCCACAAGCUGGCAAAAAAUCAUAGAUGAAAAAAAUGCAGGCCUUGUGCAUCGUCCAAGUAGGAUAUGACAAAGAUCAAGUAUAUAUCCAGCCAAGGCACAAACCCCUCCAUUGCCGGCUCAACCGGGACAAUCAUAUCUCUGAUGACAUCAGUGAACAAUAAUACUCACCAUCUCUUCCAUGGGAGAUUGCUCUGCAAAUUUAUCAAAACCAGGAGUAAUUAUAGUGAAGUUUAAUAAUAAAAAUAAAUAGGCAAUUAAAUAGCAUAAAUAUUAUUGAAGUAGAAUGAAACUUUCAAGUUGGAAUAAAGAUGUGUGAUUCACCAGGAGCUCCCUUCAGUCCAAUUAGUGGGCAAAGUACACGGAAGGAGUUGCUCCCACAUCAUGCAUCUGGCUAAACUUAACUUUCGACUUGUUAGUGUUUCAAUUCUCACAUAUCUAUGAGACACGAAAAUACUAAGCAUAACCAAAUGCAUGAGAUGACAGCUCUGUCCGCUCCUCGGCCCUCGAUAUUGGUCUGAAACGGAGCUCCUUAACUCCCCACGUAUACAUACUCUCUUUCUCUCCUCUCUCAAACACAGAGAGGAGCAAAAGAAAUGACAAUGGCUUGCUUUG
RNAcentral lists this long non-coding RNA (817 nucleotides) under Panax ginseng (ginseng). Its description in RNAcentral is "long non-coding RNA (PGIN_LNC013237)". Lineage: Eukaryota; Viridiplantae; Streptophyta; Magnoliopsida; Apiales; Araliaceae. The record is from RNAcentral.